ACGAACGCUGGCGGCGUGCUUAACACAUGCAAGUCGAGCGGUAAGGCCCUUCGGGGUACACGAGCGGCGAACGGGUGAGUAACACGUGAGCAAUCUGCCCUUCACUCUGGGAUAGCCACCGGAAACGGUGAUUAAUACCGGAUAUGACCAGCCUUCGCAUGUGGGUUGGUGGAAAGUUCAGGCGGUGAAGGAUGGGCUCGCGGCCUAUCAGCUUGUUGGUGAGGUAAUGGCUCACCAAGGCUUCGACGGGUAGCCGGCCUGAGAGGGUGACCGGCCACACUGGGACUGAGACACGGCCCAGACUCCUACGGGAGGCAGCAGUGGGGAAUAUUGGACAAUGGGCGAAAGCCUGAUCCAGCAACGCCGCGUGAGGGAUGACGGCCUUCGGGUUGUAAACCUCUUUCAGCAGGGACGAAGCGAAAGUGACGGUACCUGCAGAAGAAGCACCGGCCAACUACGU
Molecule: ribosomal RNA, 460 nt
Filed under: uncultured bacterium
Lineage: Bacteria
Description: bacterial SSU rRNA
Rfam family: Bacterial small subunit ribosomal RNA
Source: RNAcentral